UAUCUCUACACAGACGGGGAGUUGUUCGUGCCAGGAAUAAAUCACUCAUUGGGUGUUUAUAUUACUCGGCCACAUACAAGUUGACAAUCUUGCAGCCUUUACAGUUUAACACAAGUAAUACUAACAAAAUUGUAUAGUGUUUAUACGUCUGGUUUAUUGUUUGUAACAUAUAAUGGAAUCGUUUCCUAACAGCAUUUCAAACUGUUAUAAGAGACCUGUCAAAAACACAAACGUAUUACACCACACUGCAGACGUGAUAUGUGACACAGCAUCAUGUUAGUUCAUCCGUACUAAAGUCCGUGACACGCAGUGGAGGGUGCUAAUCUAAAUGUAGAUGAGGCCUACAACAUGUGUUACUACGCAGACAGAAGGUUUGGUGCGUGUAGGAGGACUUCUGGAUCAGAUGAAAUAUAUUCCAAUCACCUUAGUAUAGUUUACAUUUCUUCUUUGAUCAAAAGAAUAUGUCUGUAUGCAAGCCUCAGAGGCCUACUUCAGUCAACUUCAGCGUCUACUUCUGGCCAUUAUAAUAUCCUUCAGUCGAAGUUAUUUUCGGUACUGAAAUAGAAUUUACUUGGUUCCCCCGAUCAAUCAAAUAUAUACAACAAGACGUAGGACCAAAAAGUUUAUUUCGGACUAACAUCAUUUUUGCCUUUUUAUGUUAAAAUAUAAUAACCAUAAUUUGUCAGUAUAGUACGCUAUUACAAAGUGUAUUGUUAUAGACACAUAUAAACACAAAUAUAACGUUUUUUUAAUGUUUCAACCCCAUUUUAACUCCUAUGGUUGUUUGACCUUUAUGAAAAUUCUUUGCUUCAUCUCUUGAGAUUAUAAAACAAGUGUACUAAAUUUUAUUUUUCCAUCGGGAGAUUUAAAAACCAAUAUAUAAGUCUUAUAUGGGAUGCAACCAUUAUUCAAACCAUACUGAUUAUUUAUCUUCAUUGAAAAUCUUUACUUUGUUUGAUGAGAGGAUAGGGCACAUUUAUGUCAAAUUUCAUCUGUACAGAAGAUUAGGAAAUUGGACAAAUAAAAUUUUUCUAAGGGUUUCAACAACAUAUCAACCCAUAGAUGCAUGAUAAAUAUGCAUGAACAUAUUUUAUUUUUCGCUUAGAGCUUACGGCAAAUGUGUGCAAAAGUCUACCGUUGUAGGAUUUCAGAAAAAUUACAAACA
This is a long non-coding RNA of Homalodisca vitripennis (glassy-winged sharpshooter), 1165 nucleotides long. RefSeq lists it as uncharacterized. Lineage: Eukaryota; Metazoa; Arthropoda; Insecta; Hemiptera; Cicadellidae. The transcript is spliced from 3 exons. The record is from RefSeq and is a predicted model, not a curated record.